RNAcentral lists this ribosomal RNA (890 nucleotides) under Nectria sinensis. RNAcentral's name for it is "eukaryotic LSU rRNA". It matches the Rfam family "Eukaryotic large subunit ribosomal RNA", at positions 40 to 962 of the family's 3401-position model. Lineage: Eukaryota; Fungi; Ascomycota; Sordariomycetes; Hypocreales; Nectriaceae. The record is from RNAcentral.
AUAUCAAUAAGCGGAGGAAAAGAAACCAACAGGGAUUGCCCUAGUAACGGCGAGUGAAGCGGCAACAGCUCAAAUUUGAAAUCUGGCCCUCGGGUCCGAGUUGUAAUUUGUAGAGGAUGCUUUUGGUGCGGUGCCUUCCGAGUUCCCUGGAACGGGACGCCAUAGAGGGUGAGAGCCCCGUCUGGUUGGACACCAAGCCUCUGUAAAGCUCCUUCGACGAGUCGAGUAGUUUGGGAAUGCUGCUCUAAAUGGGAGGUAUAUGUCUUCUAAAGCUAAAUACCGGCCAGAGACCGAUAGCGCACAAGUAGAGUGAUCGAAAGAUGAAAAGCACUUUGAAAAGAGAGUUAAAUAGUACGUGAAAUUGUUGAAAGGGAAGCGCUUGUGACCAGACUUGGGCUUGGUUAAUCAUCCAGGGUUCUCCCUGGUGCACUUGGCCGGCCCAGGCCAGCAUCAGUUUGCCGCGGGGGAUAAAGGCGUCGGGAAUGUGGCUCCCUCGGGAGUGUUAUAGCCCGGCGUGCAAUACCCUGCGGCGGACUGAGGUUCGCGCAUCUGCAAGGAUGCUGGCGUAAUGGUCAUCAGCGACCCGUCUUGAAACACGGACCAAGGAGUCGUCUUCGUAUGCGAGUGUUCGGGUGUCAAACCCCUACGCGUAAUGAAAGUGAACGCAGGUGAGAGCUUCGGCGCAUCAUCGACCGAUCCUGAUGUUCUCGGAUGGAUUUGAGUAAGAGCAUACGGGGCCGGACCCGAAAGAAGGUGAACUAUGCCUGUAUAGGGUGAAGCCAGAGGAAACUCUGGUGGAGGCUCGCAGCGGUUCUGACGUGCAAAUCGAUCGUCAAAUAUGGGCAUGGGGGCGAAAGACUAAUCGAACCUUCUAGUAGCUGGUUUCCGCC